Molecule: ribosomal RNA, 442 nt
Filed under: uncultured bacterium
Lineage: Bacteria
Description: partial 16S ribosomal RNA
Rfam family: Bacterial small subunit ribosomal RNA
Source: RNAcentral
CCUACGGGUGGCAGCAGUGGGGGAUAUUGGACAAUGGGGGGAACCCUGAUCCAGCGACGCCGCGUGAGUGAAGAAGUAUUUCGGUAUGUAAAGCUCUGUCAGCAGGGAAGAAAGAAAUGACGGUACCUGACCAAGAAGCCCCGGCUAACUACGUGCCAGCAGCCGCGGUAAUACGGAGGAUGCGAGCGUUAUCCGGAUUUAUUGGGUUUAAAGGGUGCGUAGGCGGUCCGUUAAGUCAGCGGUAAAAUUGCGGGGCUCAACCCCGUCGAGCCGUUGAAACUGGCAGACUUGAGUUGGCGAGAAGUACGCGGAAUGCGCGGUGUAGCGGUGAAAUGCAUAGAUAUCGCGCAGAACUCCGAUUGCGAAGGCAGCGUACCGGCGCCAGACUGACGCUGAGGCACGAAAGCGUGGGGAUCGAACAGGAUUAGAUACCCCAGUAGUC